UAAGCGACUAAGCGUACACGGUGGAUGCCCUGGCAGUCAGAGGCGAUGAAGGACGUUCUAAUCUGCGAUAAGCGUCGGUAAGGUGAUAUGAACCGUUAUAACCGGCGAUUUCCGAAUGGGGAAACCCAGUGUGUUUCGACACACUAUCAUUAACUGAAUCCAUAGGUUAAUGAGGCGAACCGGGGGAACUGAAACAUCUAAGUACCCCGAGGAAAAGAAAUCAACCGAGAUUCCCCCAGUAGCGGCGAGCGAACGGGGAGGAGCCCAGAGCCUGAAUCAGUGUGUGUGUUAGUGGAAGCGUCUGGAAAGGCGCGCGAUACAGGGUGACAGCCCCGUACACAAAAAUGCACAUGCUGUGAGCUCGAUGAGUAGGGCGGGACACGUGGUAUCCUGUCUGAAUAUGGGGGGACCAUCCUCCAAGGCUAAAUACUCCUGACUGACCGAUAGUGAACCAGUACCGUGAGGGAAAGGCGAAAAGAACCCCGGCGAGGGGAGUGAAAAAGAACCUGAAACCGUGUACGUACAAGCAGUGGGAGCACGCUUAGGCGUGUGACUGCGUACCUUUUGUAUAAUGGGUCAGCGACUUAUAUUCUGUAGCAAGGUUAACCGAAUAGGGGAGCCGAAGGGAAACCGAGUCUUAACUGGGCGUUAAGUUGCAGGGUAUAGACCCGAAACCCGGUGAUCUAGCCAUGGGCAGGUUGAAGGUUGGGUAACACUAACUGGAGGACCGAACCGACUAAUGUUGAAAAAUUAGCGGAUGACUUGUGGCUGGGGGUGAAAGGCCAAUCAAACCGGGAGAUAGCUGGUUCUCCCCGAAAGCUAUUUAGGUAGCGCCUCGUGAACUCAUCUCCGGGGGUAGAGCACUGUUUCGGCAAGGGGGUCAUCCCGACUUACCAACCCGAUGCAAACUGCGAAUACCGGAGAAUGUUAUCACGGGAGACACACGGCGGGUGCUAACGUCCGUCGUGAAGAGGGAAACAACCCAGACCGCCAGCUAAGGUCCCAAAGUCAUGGUUAAGUGGGAAACGAUGUGGGAAGGCCCAGACAGCCAGGAUGUUGGCUUAGAAGCAGCCAUCAUUUAAAGAAAGCGUAAUAGCUCACUGGUCGAGUCGGCCUGCGCGGAAGAUGUAACGGGGCUAAACCAUGCACCGAAGCUGCGGCAGCGACGCUGAUGCGUUGUUGGGUAGGGGAGCGUUCUGUAAGCCUGUGAAGGUGUGCUGUGAGGCAUGCUGGAGGUAUCAGAAGUGCGAAUGCUGACAUAAGUAACGAUAAAGCGGGUGAAAAGCCCGCUCGCCGGAAGACCAAGGGUUCCUGUCCAACGUUAAUCGGGGCAGGGUGAGUCGACCCCUAAGGCGAGGCCGAAAGGCGUAGUCGAUGGGAAACAGGUUAAUAUUCCUGUACUUGGUGUUACUGCGAAGGGGGGACGGAGAAGGCUAUGUUGGCCGGGCGACGGUUGUCCCGGUUUAAGCGUGUAGGCUGGUUUUCCAGGCAAAUCCGGAAAAUCAAGGCUGAGGCGUGAUGACGAGGCACUACGGUGCUGAAGCAACAAAUGCCCUGCUUCCAGGAAAAGCCUCUAAGCAUCAGGUAACAUCAAAUCGUACCCCAAACCGACACAGGUGGUCAGGUAGAGAAUACCAAGGCGCUUGAGAGAACUCGGGUGAAGGAACUAGGCAAAAUGGUGCCGUAACUUCGGGAGAAGGCACGCUGAUAUGUAGGUGAAGUCCCUCGCGGAUGGAGCUGAAAUCAGUCGAAGAUACCAGCUGGCUGCAACUGUUUAUUAAAAACACAGCACUGUGCAAACACGAAAGUGGACGUAUACGGUGUGACGCCUGCCCGGUGCCGGAAGGUUAAUUGAUGGGGUCAGCGCAAGCGAAGCUCUUGAUCGAAGCCCCGGUAAACGGCGGCCGUAACUAUAACGGUCCUAAGGUAGCGAAAUUCCUUGUCGGGUAAGUUCCGACCUGCACGAAUGGCGUAAUGAUGGCCAGGCUGUCUCCACCCGAGACUCAGUGAAAUUGAACUCGCUGUGAAGAUGCAGUGUACCCGCGGCAAGACGGAAAGACCCCGUGAACCUUUACUAUAGCUUGACACUGAACAUUGAGCCUUGAUGUGUAGGAUAGGUGGGAGGCUUAGAAGUGUGGACGCCAGUCUGCAUGGAGCCGACCUUGAAAUACCACCCUUUAAUGUUUGAUGUUCUAACGUUGACCCGUAAUCCGGGUUGCGGACAGUGUCUGGUGGGUAGUUUGACUGGGGCGGUCUCCUCCUAAAGAGUAACGGAGGAGCACGAAGGUUGGCUAAUCCUGGUCGGACAUCAGGAGGUUAGUGCAAUGGCAUAAGCCAGCUUGACUGCGAGCGUGACGGCGCGAGCAGGUGCGAAAGCAGGUCAUAGUGAUCCGGUGGUUCUGAAUGGAAGGGCCAUCGCUCAACGGAUAAAAGGUACUCCGGGGAUAACAGGCUGAUACCGCCCAAGAGUUCAUAUCGACGGCGGUGUUUGGCACCUCGAUGUCGGCUCAUCACAUCCUGGGGCUGAAGUAGGUCCCAAGGGUAUGGCUGUUCGCCAUUUAAAGUGGUACGCGAGCUGGGUUUAGAACGUCGUGAGACAGUUCGGUCCCUAUCUGCCGUGGGCGCUGGAGAACUGAGGGGGGCUGCUCCUAGUACGAGAGGACCGGAGUGGACGCAUCACUGGUGUUCGGGUUGUCAUGCCAAUGGCACUGCCCGGUAGCUAAAUGCGGAAGAGAUAAGUGCUGAAAGCAUCUAAGCACGAAACUUGCCCCGAGAUGAGUUCUCCCUGACCCUUUAAGGGUCCUGAAGGAACGUUGAAGACGACGACGUUGAUAGGCCGGGUGUGUAAGCGCAGCGAUGCGUUGAGCUAACCGGUACUAAUGAACCGUGAGGCUUAACCU
This 2900-nucleotide ribosomal RNA is filed under the name Escherichia coli 2-177-06_S1_C1. Its description in RNAcentral is "bacterial LSU rRNA". It matches the Rfam family "Bacterial large subunit ribosomal RNA". Lineage: Bacteria; Pseudomonadati; Pseudomonadota; Gammaproteobacteria; Enterobacterales; Enterobacteriaceae. The record is from RNAcentral.